GCACUGACAGGUUUUGAAGGAAGUUAUGGUUCUGCUGAAGGUGUUCCAUCUUAGAGUCAACCUCAUAAGCCCUGGUUUCCCCUGUCCCCAUGAACCAGGACAGAGCUUUUCUAAGUUCAUGUGAAAUUGGAUUCUUUUCCAAGUUGCUGCAUCAUGAAUAUGCAUUUUCUUACCGGGUGGCUCAGAUUCUUUACCUUCUGAGCCAUCAGGGAAGCCCUGGUGACCAGAUUACCAGACCUGAUAAUCUUAAUUCAAC
RNAcentral lists this long non-coding RNA (256 nucleotides) under Ovis aries (sheep). RNAcentral describes it as "lncRNA (ENSOARG00000026097.1)". The record is from RNAcentral. Lineage: Eukaryota; Metazoa; Chordata; Mammalia; Artiodactyla; Bovidae.